This 98-nucleotide signal recognition particle RNA is filed under the name Sulfurospirillum diekertiae. RNAcentral's name for it is "signal recognition particle sRNA small type". It matches the Rfam family "Bacterial small signal recognition particle RNA". From Rfam's summary of the family: The signal recognition particle (SRP) is a universally conserved ribonucleoprotein involved in the co-translational targeting of proteins to membranes. The record is from RNAcentral. Lineage: Bacteria; Pseudomonadati; Campylobacterota; Epsilonproteobacteria; Campylobacterales; Sulfurospirillaceae.
CUUCUAGACCUGUGCAAUGUCUUUUAAGAGUAACGCUUCAGGGUGGGAACACAGCAGAGCGCUUUUUUUAGGUGUGUGCCGCAGUCAUCUGGGAGAGG